CACUGGGUCUGCAGUUGAACAUACAUGG
Molecule: non-coding RNA, 28 nt
Filed under: Homo sapiens (human)
Lineage: Eukaryota; Metazoa; Chordata; Mammalia; Primates; Hominidae
Source: RNAcentral